AUGGCGCUGACGAAGCGGCCGGUGGACGAGGACGGCCCCGUCGUUGCCGGAGAGGACGCCCAGCGCCUCCUCGCGUGGCGGCACGUCCUCGUCUACAAUGCCGACGCCGCGCUCACAAAAGGUGCAAAGGGCCACGUCGUGGCGCUGAAGAACCACCUUAACGCGCAGUACUACGGCGAGGUCGGCGUCGGGACGCCGCCGCAGAACUUCACCGUCAUCUUCGACACGGGCAGCGCCGACUUCUGGGUGCCCUCCUCCAAGUGCUUCCUCUCGAUUGGAUGCUAUCUGCACGCGAGCUACAAGGCCAGCAAGUCCGCCACGUACAAGAAGAACGGAAAAAGGGUCGCACUUCGUUACGGAACCGGUGCAAUUUCUGGCUAUCUUAGCCAGGACAAUGUGCAAGUUGGUGGUGUAGUUGUAAAAAAUCAGGAUUUCAUCGAAGCUACCAGGGAACCAAGUAUUACUUUCAUGUUUAGGAAGUUCGAUGGCAUUCUCGGUCUUGGAUUUAAAGAAAUCGCCAGGGACGGUGUUGAACCUGUCUGGUGA
RNAcentral lists this ribosomal RNA (546 nucleotides) under Triticum aestivum (bread wheat). Its description in RNAcentral is "partial small subunit ribosomal RNA". Lineage: Eukaryota; Viridiplantae; Streptophyta; Magnoliopsida; Poales; Poaceae. The record is from RNAcentral.